AAUAAGAUAAGCUAAAUAAAGCUAGUGGGUUCAUACCCCAAAUAUGAGAAGACCUCUCUUAUUA
Molecule: transfer RNA, 64 nt
Filed under: Placobdella parasitica
Lineage: Eukaryota; Metazoa; Annelida; Clitellata; Rhynchobdellida; Glossiphoniidae
Description: transfer RNA Methionine
Source: RNAcentral